GCGACMCCAGGUCAGGCGGGACUACCCGCUGAGUUUAAGCAUAU
This 44-nucleotide ribosomal RNA is filed under the name Nassella charruana. RNAcentral describes it as "partial 28S ribosomal RNA". The record is from RNAcentral. Lineage: Eukaryota; Viridiplantae; Streptophyta; Magnoliopsida; Poales; Poaceae.